GACGAACCGUGCAAACGUUGUUCGGAAUCACUGGGCUUAAAGGGCGCGUAGGCGGCUCGCCAAGUCGGGGGUGAAAUCUUUCGGCUCAACCGGAAAAGUGCCUUCGAUACUAGCGGGCUUGAGCGAGGUAGGGGCAUGUGGAACUUCCGGUGGAGCGGUGAAAUGCGUUGAUAUCGGAAGGAACGCCGGUGGCGAAAGCGACGUGCUGGACCUCUUCUGAUGCUGAGGCGCGAAAGCUAGGGUAGCGAACGGG
RNAcentral lists this ribosomal RNA (253 nucleotides) under uncultured bacterium. Its description in RNAcentral is "partial 16S ribosomal RNA". It matches the Rfam family "Bacterial small subunit ribosomal RNA", at positions 524 to 776 of the family's 1533-position model. The record is from RNAcentral.